CAUGUGCCGCUUCUGCCUUCUUAAUCUGAAGUUCCUCAAGAUUUUCUCCUACCCUAUUAUUUCCUCUUCACGAGUCACGACUUCAUCGGUUCAUCCGUUUAGUUCAGGCGUCGGCGAGCCACUUCUGCUUCAGUUCAGAAUAUGAAGUUCCUCAAGAGUCAAGCUCUGCUCAAGAACUGUUCUGCUUAUGCCCCUUUAGAGCCGAAGCCUCAAAUUUUCUUCAAUCAAAAUUCCUCCUUUCUCGGUUUCUCCCACAGAUCUGAUUCAAGAGCGAGGACUGCUGACUUCGUCUUGCUUUGGUUCAUUCAACUCGUUUAAGACUGUAAGUUACAUUCUUCAUUCACUUCACAUGGCUGAAAAUGGUAAUACUGAUAAAGUGGCUGAUGAAAGUAGAGGUUCCGAGUCUACGACUGCAACUACUCACUCGACAGUUACAAAACAAAGGAAAAAACGAUCUCGGGCAUGGGAUGUUUUUGAAGAAAAGAUUGAUGCUACAGGAAAUAAUAAAUAUGCAUGUAGAUUUUGUGGACAAGAAUAUUUUGAGACAAAAGGCAAAAGUACGACACAAAUGAAUAAUCAUAUCGAUAAAUGUCCAAAGAAUCCUUAUAAAGUUGAAAAAGGUCAAAAACUAUUACAAUUUCAAACAUUAUCGGGGGGUAAUAAAGGUGGUCUUAUUCCAUAGAAAUUUGAUCAAGAAGAGUGUAGGAUGGCUUUGUGUCGUAUGGUGAUUGUUGAUGAACUUCCAUUUAGUUUUGUUGAGAAGGAAGGCUUUAGAAACUUUAUGAAAAUGGCACAACCUUGUUUUCAUAUUCCUUCCCGUACUACUAUUACACGGGAUUGUUUUGCUCUUUUUAAUGUGGAAAA
Molecule: non-coding RNA, 864 nt
Organism: Nicotiana tabacum (common tobacco)
Lineage: Eukaryota; Viridiplantae; Streptophyta; Magnoliopsida; Solanales; Solanaceae
Source: RefSeq, a predicted model, not a curated record